This 82-nucleotide small RNA is filed under the name uncultured Treponema sp. RNAcentral's name for it is "TD-2 RNA". It matches the Rfam family "TD-2 RNA", at positions 9 to 93 of the family's 98-position model. Rfam says of the family: non coding RNA found in Treponema denticola The record is from RNAcentral. Lineage: Bacteria; Pseudomonadati; Spirochaetota; Spirochaetia; Treponematales; Treponemataceae.
GGAUAGUGGUGUUUACGGCUACGAGAGUUUUGCCCAAGCAAAACUCUAAGAUGAACAAUGUACAAGGAUGUAUGUUUUUCAU